UCACUACCAGGUCUGAGCCACCAAGUUUGUUGUCCAUGCCAUGGCUAGAGGUGAUUGCUAAUCAUCAGAUGACUGUUGGAAACAGGCUGUUGGUGUGAGGAACUUUGCACAUCACCAGGAAUUUUGAUAAGGACCAAUUUGAAGGCUGCAGUGAAGAUCUGUUUUAGACUACUGGUGUGAGCAGGGUCCCAAUUUUUGUUAUCAUCUUUUGAGAAAUAAGACUGCUACACUAUGCUGAAGGAGCUGGGGAAUAAUUUCCUUAACUAUAGCUUAUUUCUGGCAACUCUAUACUUUAUGGAUCCUUGUUCAGCUGCAUGAAGCAGUUCCCGGGAAGAGAUACAAUAGAUAUGUGGAACUUGCACAAGCAGCUUUUGGUGAAAGACUUGGGGUUUGGCUUGCUCUCUUCCUUACUGUUUACCUAUCUGCAGGGACUGCGACAACUUUGAUUCUCGUAGGAGGUGAAACCAUGAAGAUGUUCUUUCAAAUUGUUUGUGGUCCGCUCUGUUCAUCGAAUCCUUCAAGUCUUAUCAGUCUAAUGAGUUCUGUUGCAGGCAUUGUUUUAUAGAUAAAUGCAAUUGCAGUGAUCCAUCAAUUUGGUCACAUUGUAUUGACUGAUAUAGAAGAACUGUAAUGUCUAUGUCUUAUUUCUCAUUAUUGUUGAUAGCAAGUGCAACUAUCGCCUUAUAUUAGUUUCUGCGCAACUGUUGGAAUCAUUUCUUGUUAUGGAAAUAUCUCUGAAAAGAAGAGAA
Long non-coding RNA from Lycium barbarum (goji berry), 749 nucleotides. RefSeq lists it as uncharacterized. Lineage: Eukaryota; Viridiplantae; Streptophyta; Magnoliopsida; Solanales; Solanaceae. The record is from RefSeq and is a predicted model, not a curated record. The transcript is spliced from 3 exons.